UACGUAGGGUGCAAGCGUUAAUCGGAAUUACUGGGCGUAAAGCGCGUGUAGGCGGCUUGGCAAGUCGGGUGUGAAAGCCCUGGGCUCAACCUAGGAAGUGCACUCGAAACUGCUUCGCUUGAGUGUCGGAGAGGAAAGCGGAAUUCUCGGUGUAGAGGUGAAAUUCGUAGAUAUCGAGAGGAACACCGGUGGCGAAGGCGGCUUUCUGGACGAUAACUGACGCUGAGACGCGAAAGCGUGGGGAGCAAACAGG
RNAcentral lists this ribosomal RNA (253 nucleotides) under uncultured bacterium. RNAcentral's name for it is "partial 16S ribosomal RNA". It matches the Rfam family "Bacterial small subunit ribosomal RNA", at positions 524 to 776 of the family's 1533-position model. The record is from RNAcentral.